RNAcentral lists this ribosomal RNA (484 nucleotides) under uncultured bacterium. Its description in RNAcentral is "partial 16S ribosomal RNA". It matches the Rfam family "Bacterial small subunit ribosomal RNA", at positions 28 to 523 of the family's 1533-position model. The record is from RNAcentral.
GACGAACGCUGGCGGCGUGCUUAACACAUGCAAGUCGAACGAUGAAGCCGGAGCUUGCUCUGGUGAAUUAGUGGCGAACGGGUGAGUAACACGUGAGUAACCUGCCCUUGACUCUGGGAUAACUGCUAGAAAUGGUACCUAAUACCGGAUACGACCCUCGGAGGCAUCUCCAGGGGGUGGAAAGAAUUUCGGUCAAGGAUGGACUCGCGGCCUAUCAGCUAGUUGGUGAGGUAAUGGCUCACCAAGGCGACGACGGGUAGCCGGCCUGAGAGGGUGACCGGCCACACUGGGACUGAGACACGGCCCAGACUCCUACGGGAGGCAGCAGGGGGGAAUAUUGCACAAUGGGCGCAAGCCUGAUGCAGCAACGCCGCGUGAGGGAUGACGGCCUUCGGGUUGUAAACCUCUUUUAGUAGGGAAGAAGCGAAAGUGACGGUACCUGCAGAAAAAGCACCGGCUAACUACGUGCCAGCCGCCGCCGUAA